This 376-nucleotide unclassified non-coding RNA is filed under the name soil metagenome. RNAcentral describes it as "partial contains 5.8S ribosomal RNA, internal transcribed spacer 2, and large subunit ribosomal RNA". The stretch from base 1 to 120 matches the Rfam family "5.8S ribosomal RNA", at positions 35 to 154 of the family's 154-position model. The record is from RNAcentral.
GAUGAAGAACGUAGCGAAAUGCGAUAAGUAAUGUGAAUUGCAGAAUUCAGUGAAUCAUCGAAUCUUUGAACGCAUCUUGCGCUCCUUGGUAUUCUGAGGAGCAUGCCUGUUUGAGUGUCAUUAAAUUCUCAACUACACUGACUUUGAAUUGGUGUGGCUUGGAUUUGGGGGGAAAAUUGUUGUGGGCUUUUUGUAUAGUCUGCUCCCCUGAAAUUGAUUAGCGGUACCUUUGUGGAACUGUCUACAGGUGUGAUAAUUAUCUACAUCUUAGACAUCUGCUGGAAUGCUGCUUUCUAAACCUUACUUGUAUUGACAAUCUUGACCUCAAAUCAGGUAGGACUACCCGCUGAACUUAAGCAUAACAAUAAGCGGAGGA